AUCCAGAUGACGCUUCCCAAAUAGGAUGAAACGCACGUCCUUGAU
Molecule: non-coding RNA, 45 nt
Filed under: Schistosoma mansoni
Lineage: Eukaryota; Metazoa; Platyhelminthes; Trematoda; Strigeidida; Schistosomatidae
Source: RNAcentral